This 235-nucleotide ribosomal RNA is filed under the name uncultured bacterium. Its description in RNAcentral is "partial 16S ribosomal RNA". It matches the Rfam family "Bacterial small subunit ribosomal RNA", at positions 97 to 334 of the family's 1533-position model. The record is from RNAcentral.
GGCGGACGGGUGAGUAAUGUAUAGUUAAUCUGCCCUUUAGAGGGGAUAACAGUUGGAAACGACUGCUAAUACCCCAUACUCCUUUUUACAUUAAUUGUAAUUGGGAAAUGUUUUUUCGCUAAAGGAUGAGACUAUAUGGUAUCAGGUAGUUGGUGGGGUAAGAGCCUACCAAGCCUAUGACGCCUAGCUGGUCUGAGAGGAUGAUCAGCCACACUGGAACUGAGACACGGUCCAG